ACUUUGCAGUGCUCACACAGAUUGUCUGAUAGAAAGUGAAAAGCAAGGCGUCUUGCGAAGCAGACUGAUACGUCCCCUUCGUCUAGAGGCCCAGGACACCGCCCUUUCACGGCGGUAACAGGGGUUCGAAUCCCCUAGGGGACGCCACUUGCUGGUUUGUGAGUGAAAGUCACCUGCCUUAAUAUCUCAAAACUCAUCUUCGGGUGAUGUUUGAGAUAUUUGCUCUUUAAAAAUCUGGAUCAAGCUGAAAAUUGAAACACUGAACAACGAAAGUUGUUCGUGAGUCUCUCAAAUUUUCGCAACACGAUGAUGAAUCGUAAGAAACAUCUUCGGGUUGUGAGGUUAAGCGACUAAGCGUACACGGUGGAUGCCCUGGCAGUCAGAGGCGAUGAAGNNNNNNNNNNGGAAGUUUUCAGAGAUGAGAAUGUGCCUUCGGGAACCGUGAGACAGGUGCUGCAUGGCUGUCGUCAGCUCGUGUUGUGAAAUGUUGGGUUAAGUCCCGCAACGAGCGCAACCCUUAUCCUUUGUUGCCAGCGGUCCGGCCGGGAACUCAAAGGAGACUGCCAGUGAUAAACUGGAGGAAGGUGGGGAUGACGUCAAGUCAUCAUGGCCCUUACGACCAGGGCUACACACGUGCUACAAUGGCGCAUACAAAGAGAAGCGACCUCGCGAGAGCAAGCGGACCUCAUAAAGUGCGUCGUAGUCCGGAUUGGAGUCUGCAACUCGACUCCAUGAAGUCGGAAUCGCUAGUAAUCGUGGAUCAGAAUGCCACGGUGAAUACGUUCCCGGGCCUUGUACACACCGCCCGUCACACCAUGGGAGUGGGUUGCAAAAGAAGUAGGUAGCUUAACCUUCGGGAGGGCGCUUACCACUUUGUGAUUCAUGACUGGGGUGAAGUCGUAACAAGGUAACCGUAGGGGAACCUGCGGUUG
This 932-nucleotide ribosomal RNA is filed under the name Shigella dysenteriae. RNAcentral's name for it is "bacterial SSU rRNA". The stretch from base 316 to 932 matches the Rfam family "Bacterial small subunit ribosomal RNA", at positions 875 to 1520 of the family's 1533-position model. The record is from RNAcentral. Lineage: Bacteria; Pseudomonadati; Pseudomonadota; Gammaproteobacteria; Enterobacterales; Enterobacteriaceae.